CGAGGCAGAGCGACCCCAAAAAGACCGUCCCAGUUCGGAUCGCAGGCUGCAACCCGCCUGCGUGAAGUCGGAAUCGCUAGUAAUCGCGGAUCAGCAUGCCGCGGUGAAUACGUUCCCGGGCCUUGUACACACCGCCCGUCACACCAUGAGAGUCGGGAACACCCGAAGUCCGUAGCCUAACAGCAAUGAGGGCGCGGCCGAAGGUGGGUUCGAUAAUUGGGGUGAAGUCGUAACAAGGUACC
RNAcentral lists this ribosomal RNA (242 nucleotides) under uncultured bacterium. RNAcentral describes it as "partial 16S ribosomal RNA". It matches the Rfam family "Bacterial small subunit ribosomal RNA", at positions 1258 to 1500 of the family's 1533-position model. The record is from RNAcentral.